UUGGAGGGCAAGUCUGGUGCCAGCAGCCGCGGUAAUUCCAGCUCCAAUAGCGUAUAUUAAAGUUGUUGCAGUUAAAAAGCUCGUAGUUGAAUUUCGGGAUCAGAUUGUCGGUCGUGCCUCGGUACGUACUGGCAUUAUUGGUUCCUACCUUCUGAAGAACCGCGAUGUCAUUAAUUUGGUGUCGUGGGGAAUCAGGACUGUUACUUUGAAAAAUUAGAGUGUUUAAAGCAGGCGCACGCUUGAAUACAUUAGCAUGGAAUAAUGAAAUAGGACGUUUGAUUCUAUUUUGUUGGUUUCUAGGAUUGACGUAAUGAUUAAUAGGGAUAGUUGGGGGCAUUAGUAUUCAAUUGUCAGAGGUGAAAUUCUUGGAUUUAUUGAAGACUAACUACUGCGAAAGCAUUUGCCAAGGAUGUUUUCAUUAAUCAAGAACGAAAGUUAGGGGAUCGAAGACGAUCAGAUACCGUCGUAGUCUUAACCAUAAACUAUGCCGACUAGGGAUCGGAUGAUGUUAAUUUUUAAUGACUCAUUCGGCGCCUUAC
Molecule: ribosomal RNA, 539 nt
Filed under: uncultured Glomeraceae
Lineage: Eukaryota; Fungi; Glomeromycota; Glomeromycetes; Glomerales; Glomeraceae
Description: SSU rRNA
Rfam family: Eukaryotic small subunit ribosomal RNA
Source: RNAcentral